GGGUAACCUGCCUGUAAGACUGGGAUAACUCCGGGAAACCGGGGCUAAUACCGGAUGGUUGUCUGAACCGCAUGGUUCAGACAUAAAAGGUGGCUUCGGCUACCACUUACAGAUGGACCCGCGGCGCAUUAGCUAGUUGGUGAGGUAACGGCUCACCAAGGCGACGAUGCGUAGCCGACCUGAGAGGGUGAUCGGCCACACUGGGACUGAGACACGGCCCAGACUCCUACGGGAGGCAGCAGUAGGGAAUCUUCCGCAAUGGACGAAAGUCUGACGGAGCAACGCCGCGUGAGUGAUGAAGGUUUUCGGAUCGUAAAGCUCUGUUGUUAGGGAAGAACAAGUGCCGUUCAAAUAGGGCGGCACCUUGACGGUACCUAACCAGAAAGCCACGGCUAACUACGUGCCAGCAGCCGCGGUAAUACGUAGGUGGCAAGCGUUGUCCGGAAUUAUUGGGCGUAAAGGGCUCGCAGGCGGUUUCUUAAGUCUGAUGUGAAAGCCCCCGGCUCAACCGGGGAGGGUCAUUGGAAACUGGGGAACUUGAGUGCAGAAGAGGAGAGUGGAAUUCCACGUGUAGCGGUGAAAUGCGUAGAGAUGUGGAGGAACACCAGUGGCGAAGGCGACUCUCUGGUCUGUAACUGACGCUGAGGAGCGAAAGCGUGGGGAGCGAACAGGAUUAGAUACCCUGGUAGUCCACGCCGUAAACGAUGAGUGCUAAGUGUUAGGGGGUUUCCGCCCCUUAGUGCUGCAGCUAACGCAUUAAGCACUCCGCCUGGGGAGUACGGUCGCAAGACUGAAACUCAAAGGAAUUGACGGGGGCCCGC
Molecule: ribosomal RNA, 821 nt
Filed under: Bacillus velezensis
Lineage: Bacteria; Bacillati; Bacillota; Bacilli; Caryophanales; Bacillaceae
Description: bacterial SSU rRNA
Rfam family: Bacterial small subunit ribosomal RNA
Source: RNAcentral